RNAcentral lists this ribosomal RNA (454 nucleotides) under uncultured bacterium. RNAcentral describes it as "bacterial SSU rRNA". It matches the Rfam family "Bacterial small subunit ribosomal RNA", at positions 29 to 477 of the family's 1533-position model. The record is from RNAcentral.
AUUGAACGCUGGCGGCGUGCCUAACACAUGCAAGUCGAGCGGUAACAGGUGUAGCAAUACAUGCUGACGAGCGGCGGACGGGUGAGUAACGCUUGGGAAUCUGCCUGUUAGUGGGGGACAACCCGGGGAAACUCGGGCUAAUACCGCAUACGCACUACGGUGGAAAGCCGGGGACCGCAAGGCCUGGCGCUAACAGAUGAGCCCAAGUCGGAUUAGCUAGUUGGUAGGGAACGGCCUACCAAGGCGACGAUCCGUAACUGGUCUGAGAGGACGACCAGUCACACCGGAACUGAGACACGGUCCGGACUCCUACGGGAGGCAGCAGUGGGGAAUAUUGGACAAUGGGCGAAAGCCUGAUCCAGCGACGCCGCGUGGGUGAAGAAGGCCUGCGGGUGUAAAGCCCUUUCAGUGGGGAAGAAAAGCCUCGAGUUAAUACCUCGGGGUCUUGACGUAA